This 19-nucleotide unclassified non-coding RNA is filed under the name Mus musculus (house mouse). RNAcentral's name for it is "oocyte_clustered_small_RNA968". The record is from RNAcentral. Lineage: Eukaryota; Metazoa; Chordata; Mammalia; Rodentia; Muridae.
GGGUGCUGGGGAGGUUGGU